GACAAAAUGAGGCCAGAAGAUAGAGUGGCUAUUCAUGAAGCAAUGGAACAGCAAACGAUUUCCAUUGCGAAGGCUGGAAUUACAACAGUCCUUAAUUCAAGAACAGCGGUGCUUGCUGCUGCUAAUCCUCCAUCUGGACGCUAUGAUGAUCUCAAGACUGCACAAGAUAACAUUGACUUGCAGACAACAAUUCUUUCAAGAUUCGAUUUGAUUUUCAUUGUGAAAGACAUCAGGAAGUACGAUCAGG
RNAcentral lists this unclassified non-coding RNA (247 nucleotides) under Hevea brasiliensis (rubber tree). Lineage: Eukaryota; Viridiplantae; Streptophyta; Magnoliopsida; Malpighiales; Euphorbiaceae. The record is from RNAcentral.